This 460-nucleotide ribosomal RNA is filed under the name uncultured bacterium. RNAcentral's name for it is "partial 16S ribosomal RNA". It matches the Rfam family "Bacterial small subunit ribosomal RNA", at positions 338 to 795 of the family's 1533-position model. The record is from RNAcentral.
CCUACGGGCGGCAGCAGUGAGGAAUAUUGGUCAAUGGACGAGAGUCUGAACCAGCCAAGUAGCGUGAAGGAUGACGGCCCUAUGGGUUGUAAACUUCUUUUAUAUGGGAAUAAAAUGUUCCACGUGUGGGAUUUUGUAUGUACCAUAUGAAUAAGGAUCGGCUAACUCCGUGCCAGCAGCCGCGGUAAUACGGAGGAUCCGAGCGUUAUCCGGAUUUAUUGGGUUUAAAGGGAGCGUAGGUGGAUUGUUAAGUCAGCUGUGAAAGUCUCGGGCUCAACCGUAGAAUUGCAGUUGAAACUGGCAGUCUUGAGUGCAGGAGAGGUAGGCGGAAUUCGUGGUGUAGCGGUGAAAUGCUGAGAUAUCACGAAGAACUCCGAUUGCGAAGGCAGUUCACUGGACUGCAACUGACACUGAGGCUCGAAAGUGUGGGUAUCAAACAGGAUUAGAUACCCGAGUAGUC